RNAcentral lists this long non-coding RNA (1386 nucleotides) under Oncorhynchus kisutch (coho salmon). RNAcentral's name for it is "lncRNA (ENSOKIG00005002177.1)". Lineage: Eukaryota; Metazoa; Chordata; Actinopteri; Salmoniformes; Salmonidae. The record is from RNAcentral.
GUCCAUCACACACACAUUUAUCAGUUACAAGGUGUGAAUAUGGAAUCACAUGACUUUCAAAUUGCUGUUUACUUUCUUCCCAGAUGUCCUGCUACAGCCCAACAUCUCUCUCAGUCCUCCAAAUGGAGGGAUGUUUUGGGAACCUCAGGGGCCAGAGCUGAUCAGGGGCCACAGUUUCUCCAUCACCUGCUCCAUUCAGCCACAGUAUCCUGGAGGCCUCUUCAAUCUGGACUUCACUGGGUCCAACAGGACUGAAACUAAGCCAGCAGUCAACCACUCUGCCUCCUUUCACUUUCCUGUUGCAGACUAUACAGACCAGGGGAACUACAGUUGUGUUUAUGAAGUUAAUGUCUCCACCCUGUCAUUCCAUUCCACCUAAGACAGAGUUGCUGACAGUCAGCAUUCAAGGUAAAAUAUGUUUUCGUUUCAUGUUUUCUAGUGCAUUACCAUGAAGGCCAUAUUUAAGGAUUGUGAGUUUAAAAAAAUAUUGAUAUUAUCAGUCCUAUCAUUCAUGUAAUAUUUUCUUAAGACCAAUUUUUUACAUUGCAGAAGAAUUUGAUAGCUAUACGAAUUAUAAAAUGUGGUCAUCUGAAAGAUGUUGAAUAUGGUGUUUCUCUCCAUAGCAUCCAUAGUCCCCAUUAUUUCCCCUUGUGCAAUAUGUGGGCUACUGCUCCUCCUCCUGCUGCUCAUUCCUUGUCUAGUCUGGAAGAAGAUAAGCAGCAGAGAGCAGUCUAUUAUGAUAAACCCGAGAGAAACCGCCAAUAACAUUAGCACAUAUGGAAACACUGUGGUUGCAGCGAGUGAAGAAAAUGAUGAAGAGGACUAUGUCAACGUAGAAACCUUUGUCAAAAAUAGAAAAUAUGAAGACCUGAAAAAAGGAUGCGAUGCAGAAAUGUAUAUGAAAAAGGAGUUGCUUACCACUAAAAAUAAUGAGUAAGUUAUGCGUUGUCUCUACCUUCUUCCCCUUUGUGCUGUUGUCUGUUGUGCUCCUGCCAUGUUGUGUUGCUACCAUGUUGUGCUCCUGACAUGUUGUGUUGCUACCAUGCUGUGUUGUCAUGUGUUGCUGCCAUGCUAUGUUGUUGUCUUAGGUCUCUCUUUAUGUUGUGUUGUGUUGUCUCUCUUGUUGUGAUGUGUGUUUUGUCUUCUAUUUUUAUUUCAUUUUUAAUCACAGGCCCAGUCCCCGCAGGAGGCCUUUUGCCUUUUGGUAGGCCGUCAUUGUGUAUAUCAAUGAUGUUGCUCUUGCUGCGGGCGAUUCCCUGAUCCACCUCUACGCAGACGACACCAUUCUAUAUACUUUCGGCCCGUCUUUGGACACUGUGCUAUCUAACCUCCAAACAAGCUUCAAUGCCAUACAACACUCCUUCCGUGGCCUCCAACUGCUCUUAA